Long non-coding RNA from Salmo salar (Atlantic salmon), 2442 nucleotides. RefSeq lists it as uncharacterized. Lineage: Eukaryota; Metazoa; Chordata; Actinopteri; Salmoniformes; Salmonidae. The record is from RefSeq and is a predicted model, not a curated record.
UCACUUUCAUAUUUCAGUGUCUUUGAUAGUCCCUUUUAAUAAAGCUACAUUUUGGACUCGCUAGUGAUACUGUCAAUUGCAUUGACUUAGUUUUAUUUAUAACAAUAGGUGGGCUAAGUAUGUCAUUAGAAUCGUCCUAUUGGCUAAUCGAACUGUCAGUUAACUGAAAAGUUUACGGUCGUCGUUUCUGUAUUUUGUUAUGUUGGUCAGUUUUGCUGUCAAUUUGUUGCGAACGUGAUAAUCGUAGUGUGAUGUUGUUAAAUUACGUUCGACCUGAAUAGAAACACACGUAUUCAAGAUGUUUCCGUGACAUCAAGAAAAGUACGUGUGACACACGCUGAGUAGUCAUUUACAUUUUACCUAAGCAUGACGAUGGCACUUGACACAAUGGCAAACUCGAAGCGCACAUUGAUAUGUGUAAGGUUAGCUAGCUUUCGCGUGAUGGAUAACAUUACCGAACGAUUCGACUUCAUGACUAGCUAGCUAACUUAGUUAGUUGCAUCACUAUCAUAGCCAACUUCGGGGAGAGCCGUACAAAACUGUCGAGCACAACAUCAUGGUGAAUAGGAGACGAGCCUGACAUGCCCACCGCUGAGGAGCGCCAGGAGAUGCUAGCUGCCAUUUGAAGCAAGCCCUUCUGAGCCACUGGCAAGACCAUGCAGAAGAAAACACUGGAGUGGUGUGUGGAUCACCCUUUCCAUUAAAGCUCUGGGACAGACACUUUAUGAAGAUCUGAGUAAUCCUCCACACACCUCACCAUUAUGAAAGCCGACCGUAGCCCAAGAGGUGCCUCUGCCGCUGCAGGCUGAUGAUGGCACUGGAAUCUGUCAAGUACCGAUAUCAAUUUUAAAACACUACAGUAUGCCCAGUGGUGUAGUGCUAUUUCUUUAGGUGCGGGAGCUUAUUUUUUUUGAUUAAUUGAGAAAAUGAUUGGCAUGCAGUUUGGACAUUAAUGGUAAGUAAUGUAUUAUGUCAUUUUGUCAUUUCACUUCAUUUCACAUUAUGUCAUUUCACUUAUGUUUCUAAACACUUCUACAUUAAUGUGGAUGCUACCAUGAUUACUGAUCAUCGUGAAUGAAGCGUGAAUAAUGAUGAGUGACAAAGUUAGAUGCACAAAUAUCAUACACCCCCCCCAAAAUAAAAUGCUAACCUCACAUUAUUGUAAUAGUGAGAGGUUAGCAUGUCUUGGGGGUAUAAUAUUUGUGCCUCUUAACUUCCUCACUCAUCAUUAUUCACGACUUAUUCAGGACUACCCGUAAUUAUGAUAGCAUCCACAUUCAGGUAGAAGGAUCUUCUGUUACGGCAGCACUACAUUCCUGAGUAUGCCUAAUGCCACAUUCUAGCUAUGAAUGCGCAUCACAGGAGGCUGCUGAGGGGAGGAUGGCUCAUAAUAAUGUAUUGAAUGGCGCUAAUGGUAUUGAAAUCAUGUUUGAUACCAUUCUGCUCCAGCCAUUACCACAAGCCCGUCCUCCCCAAUUAAGGUGCCACCAACCUCCUGUGAAGUGGAUAGUUGGUUAGUAUUUGUGGAGCUGUAUGGCGAAGCACUGCACGAUGCAAGUUGCCUUGAUUCAAGUGUGUUAAUAGUUUUUCAAGAAAGAACUGAAGACUAUGGACUUACUCGCCUUUGUUUGCAAACCUUGCCAGCAUCUCUAAAAUAAACUUUAUGUUUAUUUGUGAAAAGUGAUUUUAUUUAUUAACAUAUUGGCACCUAGCCUGGUCCCAGAUCUGUAUGUGCUUUAGCCAACAUCUAUGACUUGUUGUUAUGCUGUACAGUCUAACUUUGUUGCAUUGUAAGUGUCUAUUCUAUUGGACACUCUUAAAUUAAUGAGCGCAAGAAGUAGCGUGGACCUUUCUCGAAUUCAAUACACCUAUGCAACUACAGUGUUUACACCAUCACAUACACUGAGUGUACACAACAUUAUGAACACCUGCUCUUUCCAUGGCAUAGACUGACCAGGUGAAUCCAGGUGAAAGCUAUGAUCCCUUAUUGAUGUCACUUCUAUCAGUGUAGAUGGAAGGGAGGAGAUAAUAGAGACCUGGAUUGUGUAUGUGUGCCAUUCAGAGGGUGAAUGGGCAAGACAAAAGAUUUGUGCCUUUGAAAGGGGUAUGGUAGUAGGUGCCAGGUGCACCGGUUUGUGUCAAGAACUGCAACGCUGCUGGGUUUUUCAUGCUCAACAGUUUCUUCUGUGUAUCAAAAAUGGUCCACCACACAAAGGACAUCCAGCCAACUUGCCACAACUGUGGGAGGCAUUGGAGUCAACAUGGGCCAGCGUCCCUGUGGAACGCUUUCGACAUGUACUCUAGGGCACAUACAGAUCUGAAACCAUGGUAAUUUGGACCCCAAAGUGAAAAUAUUGUACUUGGUACUGAUUGUUUCAAGUGUAUGCAUUAUGUAAGGUAAUAAUAGCCUAUGACUUGAUACAAUAAAACACUUGAAAAGCU